RNAcentral lists this ribosomal RNA (546 nucleotides) under uncultured eukaryote. RNAcentral describes it as "bacterial SSU rRNA". It matches the Rfam family "Eukaryotic small subunit ribosomal RNA", at positions 1 to 549 of the family's 1831-position model. The record is from RNAcentral.
CCUGGUUGAUCCUGCCCGUAGUCAUUCGCUUGUUUCAAAGAUUAAGCCCUGCAAGGGUAAGGAUAAACAAUUCUAUACUGUGAAACUGCGAAUGGCUCCUUAUAUCAGUUAUAGUUUAUUUGAUAGUAUUUUAAUACUUGGAUAACCGUAGUAAUUCUAGAGGUAAUUCAUGCGUAAAGUCCCCACUUUUGGAAAGGAUGUAUUUAUUUGAUUGGAACCCAUCGGCUUUCGAGCUGUAUUGUGGUGAGUCAUAAUAACUUAUCGGAUUGCAGUAGCCUCCCGGCGGCGAUGAAUCAUUCAAGUUUUUGCCCUAUCAGCUUUUGAUGGUAGUGUAUUGGACUUCCAUGGCGGUAACGGGUAACGAAGAAUAAGGGUUUGAUUUUGGAGAGGGAGCCUGAGAGACGGCUUCCACAUCCCAGGAAGGCAGCCGGGGGGGAAAUUACCCAAUCGUGACACCCGGAGGUAGUGACAAUAAAUAUCAAUGCGGUCGGUUUUUCGAUUGCAAUUUGAAAAGGGACAAUUUUAAUCCCUUUCCGGGGAUCAAUG